RNAcentral lists this ribosomal RNA (514 nucleotides) under uncultured Porphyromonadaceae bacterium. RNAcentral describes it as "bacterial SSU rRNA". It matches the Rfam family "Bacterial small subunit ribosomal RNA", at positions 8 to 507 of the family's 1533-position model. The record is from RNAcentral. Lineage: Bacteria; Pseudomonadati; Bacteroidota; Bacteroidia; Bacteroidales; Porphyromonadaceae.
AGAGUUUGAUCCUGGCUCAGGAUGAACGCUAGCGACAGGCUUAACACAUGCAAGUCGAGGGGCAGCGGGGCGGAAGCUUGCUUUCGCCCGCCGGCGACCGGCGCACGGGUGAGUAACACGUAUGCAACCUGGCCGCCACAGGGGGAUAACCCGCGGAAACGCGGCCUAAUACCCCGUGACGCCACCGGAGGGCAUCCUCCGGUGGCCAAAGGAGCGAUCCGGUGGCGGAUGGGCAUGCGGCGCAUUAGCUAGACGGCGGGGUGACGGCCCACCGUGGCGACGAUGCGUAGGGGUUCUGAGAGGAAGGCCCCCCACACUGGGACUGAGACACGGCCCAGACUCCUACGGGAGGCAGCAGUGAGGAAUAUUGGUCAAUGGGCGGAAGCCUGAACCAGCCAAGUCGCGUGAGGGAUUAAGGCCCUGCGGGUCGUAAACCUCUUUUGCCGGGGAGCAGUGGUCCGGACGCGUCCGGACCGGGAGAGUACCCGGAGAAAAAGCAUCGGCUAACUCCGUG